GACGAACGCUGGCGGCGUGCUUAACACAUGCAAGUCGAACGGAAAGGCCCUGCUUUUGUGGGGUGCUCGAGUGGCGAACGGGUGAGUAACACGUGAGUAACCUGCCCUUGACUUUGGGAUAACUUCAGGAAACUGGGGCUAAUACCGGAUAGGAGCUCCUGCUGCAUGGUGGGGGUUGGAAAGUUUCGGCGGUUGGGGAUGGACUCGCGGCUUAUCAGCUUGUUGGUGGGGUAGUGGCUUACCAAGGCUUUGACGGGUAGCCGGCCUGAGAGGGUGACCAGCCACAUUGGGACUGAGAUACGGCCCAGACUCCUACGGGAGGCAGCAGUGGGGAAUAUUGCACAAUGGGCGGAAGCCUGAUGCAGCAACGCCACGUGCGGGAUGACGGCCUUCGGGUUGUAAACCGCUUUCGCCUGUGACGAAGCGUGAGUGACGGUAAUGGGUAAAGAAGCACCGGCUAACUACGUG
This 468-nucleotide ribosomal RNA is filed under the name uncultured bacterium. RNAcentral describes it as "partial 16S ribosomal RNA". It matches the Rfam family "Bacterial small subunit ribosomal RNA", at positions 28 to 507 of the family's 1533-position model. The record is from RNAcentral.